UCAAAUAAUAUAAAAAAUAAUAUAUAUAUUGACAUGGAUUAAACAAAGAUAUAUAUUAUUYUAUGUUGUAUAAACAAAUUGGCAAAAUAGAGAUGGAAGAUAAAAAUAUGGUCAAAGUAAUAAGAGUCUAUGGUGAAUGCCUAGGAGCUUUAAGGCGAAGAAGGUCGUGGUAAGCUGCGAAAAGCUUGGGGGAGAAGCAAACAUUUAUUGAUCCCAAGAUUACCGAAUGGAGUAAUCCAGCUAGCAAGAUGCUAGCUAUCUAUUAUCUAAAUAAUAGAGGCGAUACC
RNAcentral lists this unclassified non-coding RNA (287 nucleotides) under uncultured Borreliella sp. Its description in RNAcentral is "partial 5S-23S intergenic spacer". The stretch from base 110 to 287 matches the Rfam family "Bacterial large subunit ribosomal RNA", at positions 1 to 185 of the family's 2925-position model. Lineage: Bacteria; Pseudomonadati; Spirochaetota; Spirochaetia; Spirochaetales; Borreliaceae. The record is from RNAcentral.